AAAAGCUCUCUCGCGCAGGAUACCUCGUUGUGAAGUGUGCGACGUUGCUCAGACUCAGCUUGAGAGUCCACAGUUCAUACAAAUACACAUCGGCUUUAUUCCCUGCUCGCACAACUGACUUUCGAUCUUGCAACCUCGCGCUCUUACGAUAGAACAAAGCAUUACCACAUUGGCAAGACUGCAUAUAAGGUAACAACACUACAAAGUGCAACCUAGCCUCUGUAUGGAAGCGCGGCUUGGACUGACCUUGUGAUCAGAUCAAACUAGUUAGCAUGAUAAAAGAAUAAUUUACAUUUGAAAGGUAACAAGGUUUAUAUCAUCGGACAAAGUCAACUACAAUCUCGCAUCCGUUCAAAGGCCUGACUACAACCACCAAACUGUAAAAUGGGCCAUUUAAGAGCAUCGUAUUAUCAAUAUUAUUGAUAGUAACUGAAUGUUGGUUAAAUGCCGUUUUGAAGUCACCACACCUAGCGCCCCCUUCUCCUUCGAACUUCAGAGUCUCUCAGGGGACUCUUAUUCCACUUUGUUUAGGAUGUCUGUUUCAAUUCAGCUAAUUGUCAUUCUUCUUUAACCAUUACUUGUUUUGUAGCACAAAAUCUAAAACCUUCCUUUGACACCGCUCAGGGCCAUGUUAUUACAGUGUUUGAGAAUGCAACCGUAGGUUCAUCCGUAGCUAUUAUAAGAGCUACAGACAAUGACAAUGAUCCCAUGGUCUUCUCGCUGGAUUCCUCGGUUCAGGAUCUGCUCCAGAUUGACAACACUGGUAAUUUGACACUUCAAAAAGAACUCGACACAGAGACGACAGAUCAAUACGAGGUUACAGUAUAUGUUGCUGACCAAUGUGACGGUUGUACCUUAGAGGAUCGGAAG
Long non-coding RNA from Orbicella faveolata, 870 nucleotides. The record is from RefSeq and is a predicted model, not a curated record. Lineage: Eukaryota; Metazoa; Cnidaria; Anthozoa; Scleractinia; Merulinidae.